CGGCAGCUCGCUGGCGAAGGUGGCGUCGUCGCUGGCAUCGAGGAAGGCAAGGAACUCGAUCAGUGGCGCGUAAUCGACGGCAUCGUCGCCGGAAUCGCCGGCUUCCAGAUCGAACGCGACCGUGUAGGCAGAGGCAUCCUCACCCUUGUAGCUCCAGUCGCCUUCGGCCUCGCUCUUGAAGAGGCGGCCAUCGGCGGAGAAGUGGGCCGCCAUCCAGUCAUCCUUCGGGUGCU
Molecule: unclassified non-coding RNA, 233 nt
Filed under: plant metagenome
Description: partial contains 5.8S ribosomal RNA, internal transcribed spacer 2, and large subunit ribosomal RNA
Source: RNAcentral